Molecule: transfer RNA, 87 nt
Filed under: Pseudomonadota bacterium
Lineage: Bacteria; Pseudomonadati; Pseudomonadota
Also listed under: 2 other names
Description: tRNA-Leu
Rfam family: tRNA
About the family: Transfer RNA (tRNA) molecules are approximately 80 nucleotides in length. Their secondary structure includes four short double-helical elements and three loops (D, anti-codon, and T loops).
Source: RNAcentral
GCCGAAGUGGUGGAAUUUGGUAGACACGCUAUCUUGAGGGGGUAGUGGGCACCGCCCGUCCGGGUUCAAAUCCCGGCUUCGGCACCA